UGAAGAGUUUGAUCAUGGCUCAGAUUGAACGCUGGCGGCAGGCCUAACACAUGCAAGUCGAACGGUAACAGGAAGCAGCUUGCUGCUUUGCUGACGAGUGGCGGACGGGUGAGUAAUGUCUGGGAAACUGCCUGAUGGAGGGGGAUAACUACUGGAAACGGUGGCUAAUACCGCAUAACGUCGCAAGACCAAAGAGGGGGACCUUCGGGCCUCUUGCCAUCAGAUGUGCCCAGAUGGGAUUAGCUUGUUGGUGAGGUAACGGCUCACCAAGGCGACGAUCCCUAGCUGGUCUGAGAGGAUGACCAGCCACACUGGAACUGAGACACGGUCCAGACUCCUACGGGAGGCAGCAGUGGGGAAUAUUGCACAAUGGGCGCAAGCCUGAUGCAGCCAUGCCGCGUGUAUGAAGAAGGCCUUCGGGUUGUAAAGUACUUUCAGCGGGGAGGAAGGUGUUGUGGUUAAUAACCGCAGCAAUUGACGUUACCCGCAGAAGAAGCACCGGCUAACUCCGUGCCAGCAGCCGCGGUAAUACGGAGGGUGCAAGCGUUAAUCGGAAUUACUGGGCGUAAAGCGCACGCAGGCGGUCUGUCAAGUCGGAUGUGAAAUCCCCGGGCUCAACCUGGGAACUGCAUUCGAAACUGGCAGGCUUGAGUCUUGUAGAGGGGGGUAGAAUUCCAGGUGUAGCGGUGAAAUGCGUAGAGAUCUGGAGGAAUACCGGUGGCGAAGGCGGCCCCCUGGACAAAGACUGACGCUCAGGUGCGAAAGCGUGGGGAGCAAACAGGAUUAGAUACCCUGGUAGUCCACGCCGUAAACGAUGUCUACUUGGAGGUUGUGCCCUUGAGGCGUGGCUUCCGGAGCUAACGCGUUAAGUAGACCGCCUGGGGAGUACGGCCGCAAGGUUAAAACUCAAAUGAAUUGACGGGGGCCCGCACAAGCGGUGGAGCAUGUGGUUUAAUUCGAUGCAACGCGAAGAACCUUACCUGGUCUUGACAUCCACAGAACAUUCCAGAGAUGGAUUGGUGCCUUCGGGAACUGUGAGACAGGUGCUGCAUGGCUGUCGUCAGCUCGUGUUGUGAAAUGUUGGGUUAAGUCCCGCAACGAGCGCAACCCUUAUCCUUUGUUGCCAGCGGUCCGGCCGGGAACUCAAAGGAGACUGCCAGUGAUAAACUGGAGGAAGGUGGGGAUGACGUCAAGUCAUCAUGGCCCUUACGACCAGGGCUACACACGUGCUACAAUGGCGCAUACAAAGAGAAGCGACCUCGCGAGAGCAAGCGGACCUCAUAAAGUGCGUCGUAGUCCGGAUUGGAGUCUGCAACUCGACUCCAUGAAGUCGGAAUCGCUAGUAAUCGUGGAUCAGAAUGCCACGGUGAAUACGUUCCCGGGCCUUGUACACACCGCCCGUCACACCAUGGGAGUGGGUUGCAAAAGAAGUAGGUAGCUUAACCUUCGGGAGGGCGCUUACCACUUUGUGAUUCAUGACUGGGGUGAAGUCGUAACAAGGUAACCGUAGGGGAACCUGCGGUUGGAUCACCUCCUUACCUUAAAGAAGC
RNAcentral lists this ribosomal RNA (1550 nucleotides) under Salmonella enterica subsp. enterica serovar Poona. Its description in RNAcentral is "bacterial SSU rRNA". It matches the Rfam family "Bacterial small subunit ribosomal RNA". The record is from RNAcentral. Lineage: Bacteria; Pseudomonadati; Pseudomonadota; Gammaproteobacteria; Enterobacterales; Enterobacteriaceae.